UGGGGAAUAUUGGACAAUGGGCGCAAGCCUGAUCCAGCCAUGCCGCGUGGGGGAUGAAGGCCUUCGGGUCGUAAACCCCUUUUCUGAGAGAAGAACAUCCCGGGAAGGAAAUGUCUCGGGCUUGACGGUAUCUCAGGAAUAAGCAACGGCUAACUCCGUGCCAGCAGCCGCGGUAAUACGGAGGUUGCAAGCGUUGUUCGGAAUUACUGGGCGUAAAGGGAGCGCAGGCGGUUGGGUAAGUCUGAAGUGGAAGCCCGGGGCUCAACCCCGGAAGUGCUUUGGAUACUGCCCGACUUGAGUACGCGAGAGGAAAGCGGAAUUCCAGGUGUAGCGGUGAAAUGCGUAGAUAUCUGGAGGAACACCGGUGGCGAAAGCGGCUUUCUGGCGCGUUACUGACGCUGAGGCUCGAAAGCGUGGGGAGCAAACGGG
RNAcentral lists this ribosomal RNA (429 nucleotides) under uncultured bacterium. RNAcentral's name for it is "bacterial SSU rRNA". It matches the Rfam family "Bacterial small subunit ribosomal RNA", at positions 355 to 776 of the family's 1533-position model. The record is from RNAcentral.